UAGGAUGAGUCUUGAACCUACCCCUGGUC
This 29-nucleotide non-coding RNA is filed under the name Rattus norvegicus (Norway rat). The record is from RNAcentral. Lineage: Eukaryota; Metazoa; Chordata; Mammalia; Rodentia; Muridae.